This 468-nucleotide ribosomal RNA is filed under the name uncultured bacterium. RNAcentral describes it as "partial 16S ribosomal RNA". It matches the Rfam family "Bacterial small subunit ribosomal RNA", at positions 28 to 507 of the family's 1533-position model. The record is from RNAcentral.
GACGAACGCUGGCGGCGUGCUUAACACAUGCAAGUCGAACGGAAAGGCCCUGCUUUUGUGGGGUGCUCGAGUGGCGAACGGGUGAGUAACACGUGAGUAACCUGCCCCUGACUUUGGGAUAACUUCAGGAAACUGGGGCUAAUACCGGAAAGGAGUUCCUGCUGCAUGGUGGGGGUGGGAAAGUUUCGGUGGUUGGGGAUGGACUCGCGUCUUAUCGGCUUGUUGGUGGGGUGGUGGCUUACCAAGCCUUUGACGGGUAGCAGGCCUGAGAGGGUGACCGGCCACGUUGGGACUGAGAUGCGGCCCAGACUCGUACGGGAGGCAGCAGUGGGGAAUAUUGCACAAUGGGCGGAAGCCAGAUGCAGCAACGCCACGUGCGGGAUGACGGCCUUCGGGUUGUAAACCGCUUUCGCCUGUGACGAAGCGUGAGUGACGGUAAUGGGUGAAGAAGCACCGGCUAACUACGUG